RNAcentral lists this ribosomal RNA (253 nucleotides) under uncultured bacterium. Its description in RNAcentral is "partial 16S ribosomal RNA". It matches the Rfam family "Bacterial small subunit ribosomal RNA", at positions 524 to 776 of the family's 1533-position model. The record is from RNAcentral.
UACGUAGGGGGCAAGCGUUGUCCGGAUUCAUUGGGCGUAAAGAGCGUGUAGGCGGCCAGGUAGGUCGGUUGUGAAAACUGGAGGCUCAACCUUCAGACGUCGACCGAAACCCCCUGGCUAGAGUCCGGGAGAGGAGAGUGGAAUUCCUGGUGUAGCGGUGAAAUGCGCAGAUAUCAGGAAGAACACCCGUGGCGAAAGCGGCUCUCUGGAACGGUACUGACGCUGAGACGCGAAAGCGUGGGGAGCGAACAGG